GAUGAACGCUGGCGGCGUGCCUAAUACAUGCAAGUCGAGCGAACAGACGAGGAGCUUGCUCCUCUGACGUUAGCGGCGGACGGGUGAGCAACACGUGGAUAACCUACCUAUAAGACUGGGAUAACUUCGGGAAACCGGAGCUAAUACCGGAUAAUAUAUUGAACCGCAUGGUUCAAUAGUGAAAGACGGUUUUGCUGUCACUUAUAGAUGGAUCCGCGCCGCAUUAGCUAGUUGGUAAGGUAACGGCUUACCAAGGCGACGAUGCGUAGCCGACCUGAGAGGGUGAUCGGCCACACUGGAACUGAGACACGGUCCAGACUCCUACGGGAGGCAGCAGUAGGGAAUCUUCCGCAAUGGGCGAAAGCCUGACGGAGCAACGCCGCGUGAGUGAUGAAGGUCUUCGGAUCGUAAAACUCUGUUAUUAGGGAAGAACAAAUGUGUAAGUAACUAUGCACGUCUUGACGGUACCUAAUCAGAAAGCCACGGCUAACUACGUG
RNAcentral lists this ribosomal RNA (497 nucleotides) under uncultured bacterium. RNAcentral describes it as "partial 16S ribosomal RNA". It matches the Rfam family "Bacterial small subunit ribosomal RNA", at positions 28 to 507 of the family's 1533-position model. The record is from RNAcentral.